Mercenaria mercenaria is the source of this 9076-nucleotide long non-coding RNA. RefSeq lists it as uncharacterized. The record is from RefSeq and is a predicted model, not a curated record. Lineage: Eukaryota; Metazoa; Mollusca; Bivalvia; Venerida; Veneridae. The transcript has 3 exons.
UAAGCAACAGUUAAAAGUCAAGCUGACACCGGUGGAAUUCUCUGAUGCUAUAGCCUUGCAAAUUCAUACAGGAUCACAAUCACAAGGUGGCCAUGAACUUUGCUCCAUGCCAGAUGUUGCAUCCGCCCUGAAUGGAAAACGGGAGAUAGUUGCCUCCUACCGCCCAGUAUUGAAUAUACUCAUUGGUAGAGUUGUGUUGUUCGAUCAUACUGAAAGUAUUUUUCAGUAUCUUGAUAGGAACAGGAAAGGUUCUUUGGAAAACACGGAUGAAGGAAGAAAAAUAGCAACACUUUCAUUUCAAGACCUAAACAGUGUGACACAUGAUUUAACCGAAACGGAAAUUUCAAUACACACGGAUCUUCAGGAAGUUGAACUAAAAUGGAGAGACGAAAAGAAUAGAGAAAACAAAGAGUUGAAAAUCAUCUUUCCAUGUCUUCAAGAUGACAAAUUUCAUGACUUUAUGGUGUUAGAUCUCCAUGAGAAGCCAGGAAAUUAAAUGCGGCAAUUCAACUAAAUUUCUUAAAGGAAUGACACGGAGUCUUAUCUUAACAGUAUGACUUUUGAUGAUCGCAGCUGCAUUAGUAUUCUUUUUCGACAUAAAGUUUGCUGGAUAGGCUGUGGGAUAUGCAGAGACAGAGUGCAAAUGAGUAGUCCGUUUAACAACGACUCGACCAAGUUCUUUGUAACAUAUAGUUCUCUAAAUAACUUUUAGAAUCAGUUCUUUAUAUGUAACAUAGAUGAUUAUAUAACAUUGAAUCGCUUGUAAAGCAAAGAAUUAAUUCUAUUGAUCAUGAAUAUAGAUGUUAUCGACAAAAUAACUAACUGAUAUGAUUUGUAUUGUUAGUAUAAAUAUAAUUAAUCAAUGAAACUGUAUGUGCUUUUGCUUUUUGAUAUGUUUCAUAAACUGAUGUAAGUCAUUUGUCUGAACAGUGUUUUUUGUUUGUCGUUUUAAUGUUCUGUUUAUGUUGAUGAAAUAUGUAUGGUCGCAUAACCCAUUAUGCACAACUCGUAGAUUGUAUACAUAGCCUUUAUCAAUUUGUAUGUUAAAGUGGUUGGACCUGUUUGUUUUAGUUGAUGGUGGUCUAAAACUGAACACAGCUAGUAAGAGUGGUUUUGUGUUUUGCACUUCUCCGAAAGCAUUGAAUAUCAUCAGCAAUAUAAAAAGAAUUCUCCCUCCAACUGUAUGUAAGUGUUUCUGUCAUAGCUGUAACAUUUUUGGUUUAUUUCUUUUUUUACAUUUUCAUCAAAAAUAUUUCAUCUGAUACAUAUCAAAAAAAGUUUAAUUUUAUAAAGUAUAUCAUCUGACCAAUCGAGUUCUGGUUUCAAAUACCUAAUUUUUACAUAAGCUAUUAAUAUUUAAUGUUGUUCUAGGAAAUUAUUUUUGUUUUGUACCUUUUCGCCAGUUUCAUUAUCAAUAUCUUAGUAAUGAGCUGUGAGUCAAAAUUGUUACAUGCAGAACAGUCAUGCCCAAAUACCCAUAUGUAUUCAUAUGAUAUUCCCUCGAGUUAUAAGAGGUUUGAGCUCAGACUGAGAUUGGUCGCAUUUACAGAAUUUGUGUUAUUGCUAUAUUUAGUUUAUAAGUAUCUGGAUCAGUGUUGCUGUGUUGUUUUUAUAUGUGCAAGGACAUUUUGUGUCGAUAUUCGAAACAUUUUGGCAACAACAGCAUUAAACUUUUGUCAUUCAGUCGUUAACAACCUAAUACUUUCAUUAAUAUAUACAUAGCUUUUGUCUCUGUUCUUUCAUUAUAAUUAUACUUUUGCUGAUUGUGAAUUGCUGUAAUUUGGUCAUUUAAAUGUUCACAUUUUUAAUCAGUUGAGUCUAUUUUGCUGUUUUGUUUUACUUCUAUAAUGAUGUCAUCUUGAGUUUGCUUGUGGAGUGAAUGUAUCAUUUAGAUGUGAGUGCUUCACAGAUCAUAGAAUAAUUUAUUUCAAUGUCGACAGUUUUUUCUCUAACAGAUUGUACUAGGCUAUAUUGUUGAUGAUUAUUUUCCUCUUUUUUUGUUAACGUUUUUUAUCUCCUUAUAUUCAUUUUUAGCUCACCUGAGCAAUGCUCAGGGGAGUUUUUCUGAUCAUUCGAUGUCCGGCGUCCGUCGUCUGUCUGUCGUCUGUCAACAUUUAGCUUGUGUAUGCGAUAGAAGCUGUAUUUUUCAAUUGAUCUUCAUGAAAUUAAGUCAGAAUGAUUGCCUUGAUAAAAUCAAGGUCAAAUUGAAUAUGGGUUAUCUUUGGUCAAAAAUUAGGUCACUAGGUCAAAUCAAAGAAAAACAUUGUGUAUGCAAUAGAGGCUGUAUUUUUCAAUUGAUCUUCAUGAAAAUUGGUCAGAAUUAUUGCCUUGAUGAAAUCUAGAUGAAGUUUGAAUAUGGGUAAUCUGGGGUCAAAAAGUAGGUCACUAGGUCAGAUCAAAGGAAAACCUUGUGUAUGCGAUAGAGGCUGUUUUUUUUUUCAACUGAUCUUCCUGAAAGUAAGUCAGAAUGAUUGCCUUGAUGAAAUCUAGGUAGAAUUUGAAUAUGGGUCAUCUGUAGUCAAAAAGUAGUUCACUAGGUUAAAUCAAUGAAAAACCUCGUGUAUGUGAAAGAGGCUGUAUUUUUCAACUGAUCUUCAUGAAAUUUUGUCAGAAUGAUAGCCUUGAUAAAAUCUAGGUCAAGUUCGAAUAUGGGUCAUCUGGGUUCAAAAAUUAGGUCACUAGGUCAAAUCAAAGAAAAACCUUGUGUAUGCAAUAGAGGCUGUAUUUUUCAAUGAUCUUCAUGAAAUUUGGUCAGAAUAAUAGCCUUGAUGAAAUCUAGGUCAAGUUCGAAUAUGGGUCAUCAGGGGUCAAAAACUAGGACACUAGGUCAAAUCAAAGAAAAUACUUGUUUUUGCUCCAAUUUUAAUGAUAAUUGGUCAGAAUAUUUUUUUCUAUGAAAUCACUAGGUCAAACAUGUUUACACUGUUAUGGUGUAUUAUGGUGUGUUUCUCAGGUGAGCGACCUAGGGCCAUCUUGACCCUCUUGUUUGAAUUGUGUGUGAUAUUAUUUGCUCUGUUUAAUGUGAUUUUAAACAUACACCACUAAAGGUAGAUAUAUAUGUACCUUUUCUAUAAAAGUCGUGAAGGUGUUUGACUUUUUCCCUUACAAUUUCGCUUUGGUUUAAGGGUUAAUGGGAAAGUGGAUACAAAGUGUGAAUAUUUGUAAGAAUUUAGGUGUUGUAUUUGCUUGAUUAUUUAUGUAAGUCAAGUCGCAUUCUUUAUACCGAAAUGUUAGGAAGUGUUACUGUUUUGCUUAAUUCACAUGAUUCCUUUAUAUAUCUUAUUAUUGAAAAUCAUCGAAUGUAUUAUUUUGUAAUGUACAUAUCGAACUUACUACAAUUACCAGUCCGUUUGCUGAUAGUGUGUGUAUGUAAGACUAGUGUUCAGUUUGAUUUUGUUAUAUUAGGGACUUACCUUAAACUUUCUUUACUCAAGGGAAAUAACUUAUUUACACAAAGUAAAUUGAUGUGUGAACUUUGUCUUAUCAGAAGUAUUUCAAUGCAAUGCAAAAGUAAUCUUACUGUAAAACAGGAUGACGCAAUAUUAAGCCAUAUAUAGGUGGCAGAUAUUUUUCUCUUCCCUUUGUAGCUUUGUUAUCAUAUUUGUUCUUGUAGAAUUCUGUGGGUUUAAACCUUUAAAAAUCUUCUGUUUUUUACAUAUUUCACUUCGUUAUACCCAAAUCCAUCUGCAGUAAUUAUGCCUGCUUUUUCCAUGCCUAGAGGUAAAAUACUGCAUACACACCUAAGACCACUAUAAAGUUUAAGUGGAGUUUUCACGUUUUCCAAAAUAUUUUACCCAGGAUUAUUGUUCGGCUCAAAUAACUUUUUUUUCAGAAAAUGACACUUUCAUUUUUUUUUCAAAUUGUGAACUCCGAUGCAGUUAGAUACCCCUAUAUCUUCAAUAAGUACUUGAUACUUGAAGUUUGUAUUUUUAGUUCAAAUGCCUAAUUGUAUACUGUUCUGAUAUUGUAGUUUAUAAAAGUCUUUGACUGGUUGAAGGUAGGGAUGAAAAUAUCUGGCACGAGUGUAAUUGUUUAGGUGGUAAUGAGGCUCUGCCGAGUAACCACAAAACAGUUACCCAAAAGCCUGAUAUUUGCAUCAGCACCUUCAACUAGUGAUAGACUAUUUUUUCUUGCAUGUCGUAUUUCUAAAUAAAUAGAUGAAAUAAAGUAAAACAAAUGCCUUUCUUUUAGGCACUAUUUUGUAGUAAUAGCGAAUGAAUUUAUGUAUUCAUUCAUAAAUUAUUGCGAGUCAUCUUAAACCACCGGGUUGUAAGAUGAGUUUUUCCAGACGAGAAAAUCCUGUCCGGGAUGCACGAAAAGUAUUAAUAUGCGAAUAUAUAUGUAACUUUGUUCGCCAAUGCCGGUAUUAGAAAUAUUUGACUGGCGGUUAUGAAAUGUAGAUAUUUGUUAUGUAUUAAAAUUAAAUAUAUUGGAACGAGUAUAGAUAUGUUACUUUGUACACUGUUGGGAUUUCUGGUUAAAUUUUGAAAAUUACUUGAGAUUUAACUGUAUAAUUCUAAUAUAUUCAUGAUAUUAUGAUUGUGAAUGUACCAUUUUAUUUAAAAUUUACUAAAAUUAGUAUGUCAAUUUUAAUUUAUUUUGCAUUCAAAUUAUGCUCUUGAAAUUUUACCAUUCAUUAAGUUUUCACUUUCUAACCAAAGAUGUAACAACAUUUAUUAUGUUCUGCUAAGUAAUUCCAUGCAUUUUAAGGACAUUUCCUACAAUUUUUCUCUAUGUACAAUGGUUUUUUUUUCAAUUUUACAUAAUUAUAUCUACUUCAACAUUUACUCACUCAAUUUCAGCGAUCAUUAGGGUGUGUCACCAUGCCCGUUUAAGGUACAGACAGGAUAAAUGAAUGACAAAUUUGAAAGUGCAGGUAUUCAAAUAUGAGAACAAAGAACUGAAGCAACUUUGCAUUAAGGAUGUACGAGCGGUUUUUUUUCAGGAUAUCCGCCAUUUUGAAAAAUGUUUCUUCGAAUAUUGCUUUCUAACAAAAGUUUUGCCAAAAACUGAUGCUAAAUAAAAAAAAAAUAUAGCUAAUAAUGUACCAUUUAAUUAAAUAGAUUCUACUUUUUGCGGGUAAAAAAUACACUCUUAUUUUUGGCUGACAUUUGCCUAAAAUUGAAGUUAAAUUUACAAUGGGGUAGGGGUAGGUAAUUUCAAAUAUCUAUUAAAGUACAGGUUAUAUUGCAGUAAUUCGGCCGAAAAUAUGCUUCCGUGGUGUAGUCGAAAGAAGUCCAUAAUAAAUAGAUGUCAAUAAUAAAUAGAUCCUAAUUUUCCCAUUUUUCGCGCAUUUUCGCGUAAAUCGAGGGUUAAAUGGGCAUUAUUUCACUCGUGGAAUUUUACAUAAAAUAAGACAUUUUUCGGCUAAUUUUUGCAUGUUUUCGAGUUGUUUACUUGAAAACGAAAGUAAGGUGUUUAUUCUGCGGACCGCUUUCUGAAAUGCGGCAAUAUGAGGGUACCUGACUUCAGUUGACUUGAUUUCACUGCAUACUAUUCAACACCCCUUUUUCUUUUCGUUUUCUUGAAGCAAAUGUAUGGAUAUCUUGUGGAAAAUAGGUCUACGACGGAGUGAAAAUCUAGAAACUGUAACAAAAUUGUUCCGAAGUAGCUGAAUUUUAUAUGAAACAAAGAACAAUUUCUUUUUUGGUAUAUAGACUACGUCAGGUUUGGUUUUGAUAUUUUCCUGACUGAUACAUAUAAUGAUAAGCUAUAAUUGAAAUAAAAGUUUUUAUGAUAGCACUUUAUAUUAUCUACAAAAUAUAAAUUAAAACAAAAAGAACAAAAAAUAUCAAAAUUCACCAGUUUUUAAGUUUUUUUUUUCCUUAAUAAAUCUCUUAGAUGCACGUUGACCCCAACUUUUUUCUUUCCAUUUUGAAGCACUUUUUUAUGUGUCAUUAAAGCUGCAGAAUAUUUUGAAAAUCUAAAUGUCAGAUUUUUUUGUAGAUCUCAAUACGUUUUCUUUCAUUGGAACUAAAGUGGGUGGGGUAAUUAUGUCAACAUAAAAAGUGUAAAAAUAAGAGAUUUGUUAGAGACAUUUAUGCUUAUAUAAUACUGACAUCACCUAGUAUUCAUAUUAACUUGUAACACCUGAAAUCCCUAUAACAUCAAGUGGGAUGUUAUAUGUUUAAUAAAGUACCACCAUUUUUUUCAAUUUUACAAAAUUUCAGAAAUGCUUAAACAGUGGGUGAAGAAAAUGCCCUAUAAAAUUAAAACGAGUUCGGUGACCUAUGUUGUUUCUUCUCUUGUUUGUCUUGGAAACUAAUGUUCUUCAAGCUCACAGAGUAUGAAAAAAAUCUAAACGUUAGAAAAAAAUCGUUCCUACAUCCUUAAAUGAAUGGCAAAUUAAAUUUGUUGACAACUUUUCUUACAUUUUUACUGUAAUACAUAUAAUAUUACGGAACUUAUACAAAUAAUAACAUAAAUUCUGAAAUUAACAUAAGAAGGUGGGCAUAGUCAAAUCGCACUGUCCGUCCGUGCGUCCGUUCGUGCGUGCGUGUAAAUUCACGUCCGGGCUGUAACUCUGGCAUCCAUGAAGGAUUUAAAAAAAAAAAGCUUAGCAUAAAUGUUCACCAUAAUGCAACGAUGUGUCCUGCGCAAGACCCAGAGCCCUAGAUCCAAGGUCAAGGUCAUAAAUAGAGGACAAAGUUAACAGGGUCUUAUUCUUGUCCGGUCCAUAACUCAGCCAUCCAUGAAGAGAUUUUAAAAACACUUGGCAUAAAUGUUUACCAUAAUGAGGCAAUGUGCCAUGCGCAAGAUGCAGACCCAUAGCUCCAAGGUCAAGGUCACGCUUAGAAGUCAAAGAAGUCAAAGGUUAACAGGGUCUGUUUUGUGUCCGAUUAAUAACUCUGCCAUUCAUCAAGGGAUUUUGAAAUUACUAGGCAUAAAUGUUUACCAUAAUGAGGCAAUGUGUCACGCGCAAGACCCAGAUCCAUAGCUCCAAGGUCAAGGUCACACUUAGAAGUCAAAGGUUAACAGGAUCUGUUUCGUGUCUGAUUCAUAACUCUGCCAUUCAUCAAGGGAUUUUGAAAUUACUUGGCAUAAAUGUUCACCAUAAUGAGACGACGUGUCAGGCGCAAGAUCCAGACCCCUAGCUCUAAGGUCAAGGUCACACUUAGAGUUUAAAGGUUAACAUGGUCUGUUUCUUGUCCUGUCGAUAACUCUGCCACCGAUGAAGGGAUUUUGAAAUUACUUGGCAUAAGUGUUCCAUAUAAUGAGAUGACGUGUCAUGCGCAAGACCCCGGCCACUAGUUCCAAGGUCAAUGUCACACUUAGAAGUCAAAGGUUAACAUGGCCUGUUUCUUGUCUGGUCCAAGGUUAACAUGGUCUGUUUCUUGUCUGGUCCAUAACUCUGCCAUUUAUCAAGGAAUUUGAAAAUAAUUUGACACAAAUGUUAACCAUAUGGAGAAGGCGUGUUGCGCUUAUGACCCCAGUCUCUCAGGUCAAGAUCAAUGUCACAAAGUGAUUCAUACCUAAACUAUCGUUACAUAUUUUGCGCAGACAACUGUAGCAUUCUUGGGCACGCUCCGGGGGAAUUUGUCACUAACAGUGACAGCUCUUGUUUAAAUUUUAUUUCCUAGAAAUUGUUUCAUUUACUAUACUAAAAUGUAACAAAAAUUGCACAUUUUUAUCAUAACUUUUUUGCACUGACUAAAGCACUGUGCACCGGCCUUUUAGGUUUUUACCUGCUUACUGGUAGUAAACAUUUUCAUUCGAUUACCUAGAGUUGCAUUCGAUUACCUAGAAUUUUCCGAUACCAUCCAAAACUGUUCAACUUCAUAUUUAAUCCCUAAGGAGAAUCAGUAAGAAUAGAUCGGCAACUGCGCAAAGGGUACCGGUUAUGAAAAAGGGUAAACAAAACACUAUUUUGAAAUACUGGUUCUGUACAGUAUUUCACAUUGAUACAGAAAUAGUACAAAAAAGUAUCAUACAAAUGAGCUAAUGCAAUACUUAUAAAGCAUCAAUAAAAUACAACAACAAGGCAUCAGAAAGAGGUGUAAUAUAAACUAAUGCCGUACUUCUAGAAAUUAAAUGCACAUUCUAUACUAUUCAAUAAAAUACUAUUACUGUAUCGAAAUGAAUAAAUGGUGUAUUUUUAGAAGGCCAUAAUUGUAUGAUAAAAUGUUGAUUUAGCUAGAAUUUAUUAUUAUAUAUUUUUAUUAUAGUAAUUUUGUGAUAGUAAUAAUACAUUAAUAUAUGUUAAUUAUUUACUUUAAUAUUGUUCUAUUGGUCUAUAGGUUCUGUUGCAGUUUUUUAUGGACUUAUAUAUAUAACUCAAAUAAUGAGCAAAACUUUGACGUUAUAAUGUCAUGUUAACUAACGUCAUGACGUCAUGCAUAUGUUUUUAUACAUUGUAUGUUUGCCUCAAGAAGUAUUUUUAUACGAAACGCGUUGCAAACUUGAGUUGUCUUCUUUCUUUGACCAUUUUAACUAGUAUUUGUUACAAUUCUAGCCUAAAUAUAUAGGGGAAAGAUAAACAGUACCUUACCAACUUCUCUAAAACAGAACGAGAUCUGUAACUAUUAGAUCUACAUAAAAACAGAAAAUUUCAAAAAUACAUGUAUGUACUUUUGUGACAAGUUUUUAUUACCAGUCUAGUGGCUUGUCUAGUUGCUACAUUACGUUAUGAGAAAAUCAAAACUUUAAUAUGUUGGUAAUUGUCAGCCUUAGAAAGAAAAUCACAAUUUUGCAGGAAUGAUCAGUUUCUGGGACAUCUUCUGAGAAGAAUUCAGAUGAAUUUCAGACUAUUUACUGUUUAUUAACGUCAUACAUGUUCCAGACAAAUACAAACGUAAACUGAAUAGAAAAAGUAGCUCUGUUCUUCUUCUUAUUGUUUACACGUUAUAAAAUAGACCUGACUGUGAAUACAUAAAAAUGUCUUGUACGACAUCAAAUGCUCGACUUUUCGUAUUGUUGUCCGAGUAGCAGGAAUAUCACCUUAAAUUUUAAAAUAUCUAUAGAGUAUUAAUUCAGUAUCUGCAUUUGUUUUGGUGAAAGUAACUUGCAUGCAACUUGCAACUUUAACUAGAAGUUAUUAAGUUCAAAAGGGGACACAAAUUCAAAAUACAAAAUACAU